This 1063-nucleotide ribosomal RNA is filed under the name Arthrobacter sp. GL 112-8. RNAcentral's name for it is "bacterial SSU rRNA". It matches the Rfam family "Bacterial small subunit ribosomal RNA", at positions 370 to 1442 of the family's 1533-position model. Lineage: Bacteria; Bacillati; Actinomycetota; Actinomycetes; Micrococcales; Micrococcaceae. The record is from RNAcentral.
AAUGGGCGCAAGCCUGAUGCAGCGACGCCGCGUGAGGGAUGACGGCCUUCGGGUUGUAAACCUCUUUCAGUAGGGAAGAAGCGAAAGUGACGGUACCUGCAGAAGAAGCGCCGGCUAACUACGUGCCAGCAGCCGCGGUAAUACGUAGGGCGCAAGCGUUAUCCGGAAUUAUUGGGCGUAAAGAGCUCGUAGGCGGUUUGUCGCGUCUGCCGUGAAAGUCCGGGGCUCAACUCCGGAUCUGCGGUGGGUACGGGCAGACUAGAGUGAUGUAGGGGAGACUGGAAUUCCUGGUGUAGCGGUGAAAUGCGCAGAUAUCAGGAGGAACACCGAUGGCGAAGGCAGGUCUCUGGGCAUUAACUGACGCUGAGGAGCGAAAGCAUGGGGAGCGAACAGGAUUAGAUACCCUGGUAGUCCAUGCCGUAAACGUUGGGCACUAGGUGUGGGGGACAUUCCACGUUUUCCGCGCCGUAGCUAACGCAUUAAGUGCCCCGCCUGGGGAGUACGGCCGCAAGGCUAAAACUCAAAGGAAUUGACGGGGGCCCGCACAAGCGGCGGAGCAUGCGGAUUAAUUCGAUGCAACGCGAAGAACCUUACCAAGGCUUGACAUGGGCCGGACCGGGCUGGAAACAGUCCUUCCCCUUUGGGGCCGGUUCACAGGUGGUGCAUGGUUGUCGUCAGCUCGUGUCGUGAGAUGUUGGGUUAAGUCCCGCAACGAGCGCAACCCUCGUUCCAUGUUGCCAGCGCGUAAUGGCGGGGACUCAUGGGAGACUGCCGGGGUCAACUCGGAGGAAGGUGGGGACGACGUCAAAUCAUCAUGCCCCUUAUGUCUUGGGCUUCACGCAUGCUACAAUGGCCGGUACAAAGGGUUGCGAUACUGUGAGGUGGAGCUAAUCCCAAAAAGCCGGUCUCAGUUCGGAUUGGGGUCUGCAACUCGACCCCAUGAAGUCGGAGUCGCUAGUAAUCGCAGAUCAGCAACGCUGCGGUGAAUACGUUCCCGGGCCUUGUACACACCGCCCGUCAAGUCACGAAAGUUGGUAACACCCGAAGCCGGUGGCCUAACCCC